Molecule: non-coding RNA, 110 nt
Organism: Acanthosepion pharaonis
Lineage: Eukaryota; Metazoa; Mollusca; Cephalopoda; Sepiida; Sepiidae
Source: the annotation of a GenBank genome assembly
CAGCCACAUCAUGUUGAAACAUCGGUUCCCGUACGAUCAUCAAAGUUAAGCAACGUCGAGAUUAGUCAGUAUCUGGCUGGGUGACCACUCGGGAAUACCAGGUGCUGUAA